GGGAUGAGUAAAUGCUGGAUGACAAUUAUGUGUGUAGAUCCCCUUUCCAGAUUGAUCAGAGUGAAUCAGUAGUCUCUCCAGGGACAGGGCUCAGUCUGAACCCAGGCUCAGCUGGCCUCUCUGGGCUGCCUCUCUCAAGCAGGGGUCCUCAUGUGCUGAAGUCUGUUCUCAUCAGCCUCUCACAAACUGAAGGAUUCAGAGAAACCUGCAAGUCCUCGGAGGAAGACUUGGGAAGCUCUGCCUGUGAGAGAGUUUUUCGCUGUGUAUCGGACAUUAGGGUUUCUGGAAACUUUCUGUGCAAACGUCUAAGGUGGGAAGCACACUAGAAUUUGGAACAGAUGUUAUGUCUCCAUCCCUCAGACCUGCACUUCCUCUGUGGUAUAGAAUACAAUGUUCUGUUUCUUCCUUUUCUUUCUUUUUUCCUACUAUUUGCUCGCCAAACACAAAUUGAGCUCAAAUGGAUCAAGAUGAAUCUUUUAUACAAUUGUAUUGAAAACAGUCAACUGGUAAUAGCUUAUAUUCUCCUCCAGAUUCCUUCAUUUGUGUGAAUUUCUACAUGAUUUAUAAAGAAGCGAGAUGAGACAUCUUCAAGAGUGGCAUAAACCUGCCACCGUGGUGGCUAUAUCUUUUUGUUGGUCAGUGUUAAUGAGAGUGUGCAGGCCGAUGAACUUGCAUACACUUCCAUCUCAUGCACACCCCUCAUGUGCACAGCUCUGAGUCUUCCCGUGAGCCACUUCCUUCUGGUAUUGCUGUGGCAACCGUAUUUAGGGACAGCAGUGUUGCCUGGACCUCUUCUGAGAUAGUCAUGCCAGAGCUGACAGUUUCCAGGAACACACACACACACACUUACAUAUGCUCUGGCUGUGCAAGAGGCCAUCUGGCCUGAUGUAUCACAAUACACCAAGAUGACUACAGCUCGCUGUGUGACUCACGCUUAGUCUGGGAAAGUAUACAAGUAUUUUCAACCAUGAAAUAGACAUAGGAAAUCUCCAUUUUGAUGAGAAAUUGUUUUCUCUUUUCUUGUUUUAUGAAUAAGAUGGAACGUUCAGAAGCCAUAACCCCUCGCUAACAUGCACACAAAGCUCUUUCUUCACAGUCAAACACGUUCUUUGUGUAGAGCAUGACCUUUAUAAAAAUAAACCCGAUUCAAGGAUUUUAAAGGAUUCUUCAGUGGGAAUCAGUGCAGCAAUUUGCUGAAGCUUUAGAUCCAUGUGCUAUUAUUCGGUUCAGUAUCUCACAUAUCUUGUCUCUGGUAUAAUGCUUCCAUAUUCAUCUCAUUUGAUAUGCACUGUGGGUCAGAUGGCUUUAAUUUCGCUGACUGCACCCCGGCCGGCCAGAACACUGAUGAAAUAAUGUGGCAACAAUAGAAAGCUGCGUGUGCUGCGGGGAGCUGUGCUGAACAGGCUCUGGUUUAGGAUCCCAUUUGUUUGGUAGGUUUGCAUCCAUAAAUUUGUUCUUUGACCAUUCUUGAUGCUCUCUCCACCUAGACCUCCUGUCA
Molecule: long non-coding RNA, 1498 nt
Filed under: Carassius auratus (goldfish)
Lineage: Eukaryota; Metazoa; Chordata; Actinopteri; Cypriniformes; Cyprinidae
Description: lncRNA (ENSCARG00000008228.1)
Source: RNAcentral